RNAcentral lists this small nucleolar RNA (95 nucleotides) under Neotoma lepida (desert woodrat). RNAcentral's name for it is "Small nucleolar RNA U13". It matches the Rfam family "Small nucleolar RNA U13". The record is from Rfam by way of RNAcentral. Lineage: Eukaryota; Metazoa; Chordata; Mammalia; Rodentia; Cricetidae.
AUCUGGUAAGGUGUGAUGACUGGGCUUUCAUCACAUUGUGUGGAAUGUGCCUUCUUCAGACCUUGUUAUGACAUUGNUGUAUUGCUUUUCUGUGG